UUAGAGUUUGAUCCUGGCUCAGGAUGAACGCUAGCUACAGGCUUAACACAUGCAAGUCGAGGGGCAGCAUGAACAAAGCUUGCUUUGUUCGAUGGCGACCGGCGCACGGGUGAGUAACGCGUAUCCGACCUGCCCAUGACUCGGGCACAGCCGCUCGAAAGAGCGAUUGAUUCCCGAUACGUCGUAUGAGUAGAUCAUGUGAUGAAAGAUUCAUCGGUCAUGGAUGGGGAUGCGUAGGAUUAGGUAGUAGGCGGGGUAACGGCCCACCUAGCCGACGAUCCUUAGGGGUUCUGAGAGGAAGGUCCCCCACACUGGUACUGAGACACGGACCAGACUCCUACGGGAGGCAGCAGUGAGGAAUAUUGGUCAAUGGGCGGAAGCCUGAACCAGCCAAGUAGCGUGAAGGAUUACUGCCCUACGGGUUUUAAACUUCUUUUAUGCGAGAGUAAUGUGCGCCACGUGUGGUGUAUUGCAAGUAUCGCAUGAAUAAGCAUCGGCUAACUCCGUGCCAGCAGCCGCGGUAAUACGGAGGAUGCGAGCGUUAUCCGGAUUUAUUGGGUUUAAAGGGAGCGUAGGCGGGCUAUUAAGUCAGUCGUCAAAGCCUGUGGCUCAACCACAGCCCGCGAUUGAUACUGGUAACCUUGAGUGCGGAUGAGGUGGAUGGAAUUCGUGGUGUAGCGGUGAAAUGCUUAGAUAUCACGAAGAACUCCGAUUGCGAAGGCAGUCCACUGGGCCGCAACUGACGCUGAAGCUCGAAAGUGCGGGUAUCAAACAGGAUUAGAUACCCUGGUAGUCCGCACCGUAAACGAUGGACACUCGCUGCCGGCGAUAUACAGUCGGUGGCCUCGCGAAAACCUUAAGUGUCCCACCUGGGGAGUACGCCGGCAACGGUGAAACUCAAAGGAAUUGACGGGGACCCGCACAAGCAGCGGAGCAUGUGGUUUAAUUCGAAGCAACGCGAAGAACCUUACCAGGGCUUGACAUCCCGAUGACCGUUCCUUAACCGGAACUUCUCUACGGAGCAUCGGUGACAGGUGGUGCAUGGUUGUCGUCAGCUCGUGUCGUGAGAUGUUGGGUUAAGUCCCGCAACGAGCGCAACCCUUGUCGUCAGUUACUAACAUUCAGUUGAGGACUCUGGCGAGACUGCCGAGGUUAACUCGGAGGAAGGUGGGGAUGACGUCAGAUCAUCAUGCCCCUUAUGUUCUGGGCUACACACGUGCUACAAUGGUCGGUACAAUGAGAGGCAAACCUGUGAGGGGGAGCAAAUCACCAAAACCGAUCCCAGUUCGGAUUGUAGGCUGAAACUCGCCUACAUGAAGUCGGAGUUGCUAGUAAUCGCAGAUCAGAAUGCUGCGGUGAAUGCGUUCCCGGGUCUUGUACACACCGCCCGUCAA
This 1394-nucleotide ribosomal RNA is filed under the name uncultured bacterium. Its description in RNAcentral is "bacterial SSU rRNA". It matches the Rfam family "Bacterial small subunit ribosomal RNA". The record is from RNAcentral.